Acanthosepion pharaonis is the source of this 100-nucleotide non-coding RNA. The record is from the annotation of a GenBank genome assembly. Lineage: Eukaryota; Metazoa; Mollusca; Cephalopoda; Sepiida; Sepiidae.
AUGUUGAAUCACCGGUUCCCGUACGAUCAUCGAAGUUACGCAACAUUGAGCCUGGUCAGUAUCUAGAUGAGUGAAAGCUUGGGAUACCAAGUGCUGUAAG